Molecule: ribosomal RNA, 339 nt
Filed under: uncultured Erysipelothrix sp.
Lineage: Bacteria; Bacillati; Bacillota; Erysipelotrichia; Erysipelotrichales; Erysipelotrichaceae
Description: bacterial SSU rRNA
Rfam family: Bacterial small subunit ribosomal RNA
Source: RNAcentral
GGCAUGGUUGUCGUCAGCUCGUGUCGUGAGAUGUUGGGUUAAGUCCCGCAACGAGCGCAACCCUUGUCUUUAGUUACCAUCAUUCAGUUGGGGACUCUAGAGAGACUGCCGGUGAUAAACCGGAGGAAGGUGGGGAUGACGUCAAAUCAUCAUGCCCCUUAUGACCUGGGCUACACACGUACUACAAUGGCGCAUACAACGAGCUGCGAGAUGGUGACAUCAAGCGAAUCUCUUAAAAUGCGUCUCAGUUCAGAUUGGAGUCUGCAACUCGACUCCAUGAAGUCGGAAUCGCUAGUAAUCGCGGAUCAGCAUGCCGCGGUGAAUACGUUCUCGGGGUUU